UAAUUCUGUAGUACCCCAUAUUGUUGUUUUAGUAGAUCUGGUUGAGGGGGAAAGUGGUGCUUUGAAGAUAUAAGAAUUGUUGAAUGCUUAAUUUUGUGCAAUACAUGGUUAAACAUAAUACUAAUGUUAAAUUGACUAUUGAGAAGUGCGUAGAGACUUGGACUUAGGUUUGUCCUUAGUUCACUGUGACAAAAGUAAUGUAC
This 203-nucleotide long non-coding RNA is filed under the name Phoenix dactylifera (date palm). RNAcentral's name for it is "long non-coding RNA (PDAC_LNC007605)". Lineage: Eukaryota; Viridiplantae; Streptophyta; Magnoliopsida; Arecales; Arecaceae. The record is from RNAcentral.